Puma concolor (puma) is the source of this 548-nucleotide non-coding RNA. Lineage: Eukaryota; Metazoa; Chordata; Mammalia; Carnivora; Felidae. The record is from RefSeq and is a predicted model, not a curated record.
GGCCCUGGCGCCAUUUUGAAGCUGGGCUGGACUCUCGGACUCUGGCGUGAGACCUGCUGACUCGUCUGUCACCUGCCUGGACGGGCUUGGAAGAUGACAGAGAGGGAAGAGGGAACCUUCAAAUGGGGCUGGACGUGAACCAGAGCCUCUCCCCUCCUGUGGCCAGUCCUUCCAUGGUGCCUCCAACCCAGCCCUCUAAAUUCCCAACCUCCUUCAGGCCUCAUGCCCAGCACGGACCCCAAUGUGGGGCUUGAACUCGUGACCCCGAGACUGCCAGAGAUAGUUGGUUCCAAGUUCCUGGGGCACAACAGUGAACACAAGAGACAACCAUCCCCACCUUCUAGAAGGACAGCAGAUAGGUACUGAGGACAAACACGCACGAACGGUCCAGGCUGGUCUUCAUUUUGCGAGUGUUGACUUGCUAACCGCAUGCUGCACACAGAGGAAUGACACUGGCCAGUGCCACUCUGAGCACACCCUGUUCUCCGGCCAGGGCUUUCCACGCCGUCCACACAUUGGACUCACCUUGGAGAGUUUCCUAAGGUAUC